UUGUGCAUACUGACCCUGAAUCAAAUCAGGUUUCUGCCUACAAGAAGGAAGAAGAAAUGGCAGCUAGGUUCUCUCUCUUUGCCUGCCGCCAUCUACGUAAGAUGUGACUUGCUCCUCCUUUCCUUCUGCCAUGAUUGUGAGGCCUCCCCAGCCAUGUGCAACUGUUCCAGAGGCCUCCCCAGAAGCAGAUGCCAGAACUAUGUUUCCUGUAAAAUCUCAGAACCCUGAGCCAAUCAAACCGUUUUUCCUUCAAGAAAACUCUCACCAGAUGCCAGCCCUUCAAUUUUGGAUUUCCCAGCCUCCAGAACUGUGAG
Gorilla gorilla gorilla (western lowland gorilla) is the source of this 314-nucleotide long non-coding RNA. RefSeq lists it as uncharacterized. The transcript has 4 exons. The record is from RefSeq and is a predicted model, not a curated record. NCBI's taxonomy places the organism in Eukaryota, Metazoa, Chordata, Mammalia, Primates, Hominidae.